UAGGGAAUCUUCGGCAAUGGACGGAAGUCUGACCGAGCAACGCCGCGUGAGUGAAGGAGGUUUUCGGAUCGUAAAGCUCUGUUGUUAGAGAAGAACGUUGGUAGGAGUGGAAAAUCUACCAAGUGACGGUAACUAACCAGAAAGGGACGGCUAACUACGUGCCAGCAGCCGCGGUAAUACGUAGGUCCCGAGCGUUGUCCGGAUUUAUUGGGCGUAAAGCGAGCGCAGGCGGUUCUUUAAGUCUGAAGUUAAAGGCAGUGGCUUAACCAUUGUACGCUUUGGAAACUGGAGGACUUGAGUGCAGAAGGGGAGGGUGGAAUUCCAUGUGUAGCGGUGAAAUGCGUAGAUAUAUGGAGGAACACCGGUGGCGAAAGCGGCUCUCUGGUCUGUAACUGACGCUGAGGCUCGAAAGCGUGGGGAGCAAACAGG
Molecule: ribosomal RNA, 429 nt
Filed under: Bacillota bacterium
Lineage: Bacteria; Bacillati; Bacillota
Description: Firmicutes bacterium partial 16S ribosomal RNA
Rfam family: Bacterial small subunit ribosomal RNA
Source: RNAcentral